Rhinopithecus roxellana (golden snub-nosed monkey) is the source of this 3755-nucleotide RNA transcript. It is a transcript of the gene named SFT2 domain containing 2, with no coding region annotated. The transcript has 9 exons. NCBI's taxonomy places the organism in Eukaryota, Metazoa, Chordata, Mammalia, Primates, Cercopithecidae. The record is from RefSeq and is a predicted model, not a curated record.
AGGUGCCUGGGCGGGGCGCGCCGCGGUUGGCGCCCGGGUGGCUGGGCGGCUGCCUAGUACCCGGAAGAGCAGUCAACUUCGCGAGGCGCAACAGGCUGCUGCUGAGGGGCUGGAGCCGGUGGGUACUGGGCCGCAAUGGACAAGCUGAAGAAGGUGCUGAGCGGGGAGGACACGGAGGACCGGAGCGGCCUGUCCGAGGUUGUUGAGGCAUCUUCAUUAAGCUGGGGGACCAGGAUAAAAGGCUUCAUUGCGUGUUUUGCUAUAGGAAUUCUCUGCUCAGUGCUGGGUACUCUUCUGCUGUGGGUGCCCAGGAAGGGAUUACACCUCUUCGCAGUGUUUUAUACUUUUGGUAAUAUCGCAUCAAUUGGGAGUACCAUCUUCCUCAUGGGACCAGUGAAACAGCUGAAGCGAAUGUUUGAGCCUACACGUUUGAUUGCAACUAUCAUGGUGCUGUUGUGUUUUGCACUUACCCUGUGUUCUGCCUUUUGGUGGCAUAACAAGGGACUUGCACUUAUCUUCUGCAUUUUGCAGUCUUUGGCACUGACAUGGUAUAGCCUUUCCUUCAUACCAUUUGCAAGGGAUGCUGUGAAGAAGUGUUUUGCCGUGUGUCUUGCAUAAUUCAUGGCCAGUUUUGUGAAGCUUUGGAAGGCACUAUGGACAGAAGCUGGUGGACAGUUUUGUAACUAUCUUCGAAACCUCUGUCUUACAGACAUGUGCCUUUUAUCUUGCAGCAAUGUGUUGCUUGUGAUUUGAACAUUUGAGUGUUACUUUUGGAAGCAACAAUACAUUCUUGAACCUGAAUGUCAGUAGCACAGGAUGAGAAGUGGGUUCUAUAUCUUGUGGAGUGGAAUCUUCCUCAUGUACCUGUUUCCUCUCUGGAUGUUGUCCCACUGAAUUCCCCAUGAAUACAAACCUGUUCAGCAGCAGCAGCAGAUAACCCUUGGCUGCAAGUGAUUCCCAGGUGGCAAAAGGUAGCCCUAUCAGAGAUCACAGGGGAGCAACAGUAAGGGACAGAGUUUUGGGGUCCAGUUGUCCCUCAGCUUGGAAACCAUCACCACUGUCCUGCAUAGAGUGAGUCUGCUUCUACUCUGGCAUCUAAGAACAAGUGACUCUGCUUUACACAAGCCCCUGAAGAGCCUGGCCAUGGAGUGAGAUGGGAAUGUGGUACUCAGCCAGCCAUGUGGAAGCACUGUCUUGGCGUGAUCUGCCCUGGGCUGUUGGCUCUCUGAAUGCUGUCUUGGGAGGAGCACUGCCCUUCAGACCAGAAGAGAUGGCUUCCAGUCCCCUCUCCCUCUUGUCCCAGUCUCUCUGAGGCUGCUUGUUGGGUAUUGGACAUGCUGUGUACUAACUCACUCCCAUCUCUUGUCUCAUUAUCUGAAAUGCAUCCGCGUUUGCAGAAUGGGCUCCAAGGGAGCCUUCAGUUCUGCUCCUCCAAUAGCCGUAGCUCAGACCCCAGCUCAAGAUAUCUUGUCUCUGGAAAGGGCAAAACGUUGUCCCCAGUGUAGCAUUUUCACUGGGUUGAUUAUCUCAGUGCUGGAUCAUCUGUCUAUCACCCUUGUGUGGUGACUUUGUGAAUUAUCUGCCUGAGUGCCACCUCCCAUCCACCCUAAUCACUGCAUGCUCAGGGAGCAAUAAAUAAAAUCAUGAAAUGCAUUCCAAAUAAAAUCACUUUUUGGCUGGGUGCAGUGGCUCACACUCCCAAAGUAAUCCCAGCACUUUGGGAGACUGAGGUGGGUGGAUCGCUUGAGGCCAGGAGUUCAAGAGCAGCCUGGCCAACAUGGCGAAACCCCAUUUCUACAAAAAACAGCAAAAAAAUCAGCCAGGGUAACUGGUGUGUGCCUAUAAUCCCACCUACUUGGGAGGGAGGCUGAGGCACAAGAAUUGCUUGAACCCAGGAGGUGGAAGUUCAUUGAGCCGAGAUCAUGGCCCUGCACUACAGCCUGAGCAACAGAGCAAGACUCUGUCUCAAAAAUAAAUAAAUAAAUAAAAAAUCACGUUUUGAUACUUCUGUUAAAAUAGAUAAUAAGGGAUCAUAUCUUAAAGUUUGGAGGAUCUGGCUUGGCUUCAGUUUUCCCUAUGAAAGUGACAGAUGUUGCAUCAUGAGACUUAGUGGAAUGAAUUGGGAAAUUGAAGGGCAGCCCCAUGGCUGUGGAUUCUAUUUUCUAUGGGACUGUUUACACCAGGCUUUGUUUAUUUUCUCUUUGCUCAGAUAACUUCUGACUAAAGUCGACUGUAGGAUUAUAAAUAGUUUAAAAUACCUAUUCUCAAACCUCAUUUUCAGCAUAUAAAUUUUUAAGAAUCAGUGUUUAAAGAUACAUGAAGCUAUUUGCUAGAUUUUUGUUCUAGUUUUUUUUUAAUUAAAAAAUCUUAAGUUUUUUUUAGUAAGCUUAAGAUGUCCAGUAGUUUAUUUGCAGGCAGCAUUUUUAAAAAGUGAAUAGAUGUUUAGCUGAAGUUAAUUAUAGAUUUACGACUGUGUAACUCUUGGUAAGAUAUAACAAAACCUAGACAUCUAAAGUUUUUGGAAAUUUUUAUUUUAAAAGUUGGUUGGGAGGUAAAAUUGUGUGACUUUACCUUGGGUUGAUAGUUUUAUAGUUAAGAAGAAAGUCUGGUGAAGUUUACUUGAUCUCAGUUCGUUCAAGAAUAGGGUAUUUAGUUCCACUUUGGUUAUUUUCACUUCUACCCUAAAUUCAUAAUCCCUGUUACUUAAGCUUUACCCUUACCAGUUUUUGUAGCAGCGAGAUAAAUGGGGAGUAGCAGUGCCUUUGUUAAUGUAAAUUGACAAAAAAUUAUGUCCUUUUCUAGCAGGAGUAGAUAAACUGAUAAUGGGCUAAGAAAUGUACAAAAUGAUUUUCUGUAGACAGGAUGAUCUGUAACCAUGAGUCCACUAGACAGGAGAAACUUUGCUGUUUAAAAUGAAAGGUUAUUCAGGAUUUGGAAUAAUUUGCUAAAAAAAGUAAAAUUAAAGGUCAGUUCAUAGCAUUGUAGCAAAUGAUGGUACAUAUUCACAACAAAGUAAUGCGACUACCUUUAAUAAAUAGCCACAAACAACAAAAGGACAGCUGGUGCCUGAUAUGUACUGGCUACCUGGACGUAAUAUCCUUGUAAGGCAUCCUUAAAGGACAAAUUGCAGCUGGUAUUUGGGUGAAUGUUGCUCUGUGCCUGUUGAAUGUCCAUGCUACAAGAAGUUAUGAGCCUUGUUCUAAGUACAAAUGAACCUUGUAUCUGUUUAAUCUCCUAAGGGAGAGCUAUAGUUUACAUUCAAUUUUUUGGUCUUUCUGCUAUGAAAGGUAUUUAUUUUGCCUUUGUCAAUGUGUUUGCAACCUUAAAUAAGGAAAGGGAAAAAAAUAGCCCUCUGAACUCUGAUCUUUUGCUGCUUCUGUAAAUUUUGAUUAUGAAGUUGGGAGUGAGGACAUUCAAAAGCCCAUGGUGAAUUUAUAUGCCUUUAGAAUAUUGUGCCUGUUUUAAAAUGUUUGAGCUGUUAAAACACUUUGUUGAAACAUGAAUCCUUUUUUGUAAUUGUAUAAAUACUCAUAACUAAUUUUGAAUGCUACUGAUUGUGUAACUUAAUUUUUGUAUCCAAAAAUACAUUCUUGAGUACUACUUUUCCUACCUUGAAAAUCUAUUUCAUUUAAUAAAUACUGUUUUCUUUAUGCUAACUUAACUUUAAAAGGAAUGUUGCCAAGCUGUCUCUCCUGCCCAUCACAAUUUUGUUUUUGCUUUUUUUCUUCAAUAAAUGAUAGCAUUAUGAUCUUUAA